AUACGGAGGGUGCAAGCGUUGUCCGGAUUUAUUGGGUUUAAAGGGUGCGUAGGUGGCGUGUUAAGUCAGUGGUGAAAGCCUGCAGCUCAACUGUAGAGGUGCCAUUGAUACUGACAUGCUUGAGUAUGGACGAGGUAGGCGGAAUUUGUGGUGUAGCGGUGAAAUGCAUAGAUACCACAAAGAACACCGAUAGCGAAGGCAGCUUACUGGACCAUAACUGACACUGAGGCACGAAAGUGUGGGUAGCGAACAGGAUUAGAUACCCGAGUAGUCC
This 274-nucleotide ribosomal RNA is filed under the name uncultured bacterium. RNAcentral describes it as "partial 16S ribosomal RNA". It matches the Rfam family "Bacterial small subunit ribosomal RNA", at positions 523 to 796 of the family's 1533-position model. The record is from RNAcentral.